RNAcentral lists this ribosomal RNA (433 nucleotides) under uncultured bacterium. RNAcentral's name for it is "partial 16S ribosomal RNA". It matches the Rfam family "Bacterial small subunit ribosomal RNA", at positions 29 to 507 of the family's 1533-position model. The record is from RNAcentral.
AGCGAACGCUGGCGGCAGGCCUAACACAUGCAAGUCGAACGAACUCUUCGGAGUUAGUGGCGGACGGGUGAGUAACACGUGGGAACGUGCCUUUUGGUUCGGAAUAACUCAGGGAAACUUGUGCUAAUACAGAAUGUGCCCUUCGGGGGAAAGAUUUAUCGUCAUUAGAGCGGCCCGCGUCUGAUUAGCUUGUUGGUGAGGUAACGGCCCACCAAGGAGACGAUCAGUAGCUGGGCUGAGAGGAUGACCAGCCACACUGGGACUGAGACACGGCCCAGACUCCUACGGGAGGCAGCAGUGGGGAAUCUUGCGCAAUGGGCGAAAGCCUGACGCAGCCAUGCCGCGUGAAUGAUGAAGGUCUUAGGAUUGUAAAAUUCUUUCACCGGGGACGAUAAUGACGGUACCCGGAGAAGAAGCCCCGGCUAACUUCGUG